UACGGAGGGUGCAAGCGUUGUCCGGAUUUAUUGGGUUUAAAGGGUGUGUAGGCGGCUAAUUAAGUCAGCGGUGAAAUUCCACAGCUCAACUGUGUGAACUGCCAUUGAUACUGGUUGGCUUGAGUACAGAUGAGGUAGGCGGAAUUGACAGUGUAGCGGUGAAAUGCUUAGAUAUUGUCAAGAACACCUAUUGCGAAGGCAGCUUACUAAACUGUAACUGACGCUGAGGCACGAAAGCGUGGGGAUCAAACAGG
This 254-nucleotide ribosomal RNA is filed under the name uncultured bacterium. RNAcentral describes it as "partial 16S ribosomal RNA". It matches the Rfam family "Bacterial small subunit ribosomal RNA", at positions 524 to 776 of the family's 1533-position model. The record is from RNAcentral.